GGGCAGGAGGAGGAAUUGCUGCAUCGAAUUACAGCAAAACCAAAUGAUGGACUGAACAUAAAAGCACAAACAGCAAAAAACCAGAAUUGCUAGACCACAGCAGAACCAAAAGACUGAACAACAAAGCACAAACAACAGAGACUAAGAAAAGCAUCAGCAACCCAUCCGAGAGUCAACAGUAAGCAGAGACAAAAAGCAAUUGCAGUACAGCAAUGGAAACCCGAAAUAAGCUGAAUGCAGAGAUCAAAUUAGCAAAACCGGAUCCACCAAAGAGGAGCUGAAACCAGUAAAAAAUAAAGAGCUGCCGCUGACCAAAUAGCAAACAACUAGGACGCAGAACAAAAACUCUUCAGCACCCAAAAGGACAGUAACCAAAAACUGCACGAAAGAAUAAACCAAAAGCCAUACAAAAACCAAGUGGCUCCUCUCACUUGUUGCAUAAAAUUAGAAACGGUUGAUGCAUAUUGCAAAGAGAGCUUGGUUUGGAUUGUGCUGGGGCUGCAUUGGUACUCCUCAUCUUUGGAAGCAUACAACAAGUGGAUUCCACAUCUUUUCACCUUUAAUUCUACUAAAUCAAUAUGCCUUGCAUCACCUUUAUGCAAAUUGUCUACUUUGAACUCAGACUCAAUCGAAAGCUUGUUGACAUCUGAACAAUUGUGUUUGAGCCAUGGUUGAAUACAGUAACGAUUGUGCCAAAGGAACACAUGAUCUGAUUCAAUGGUGGCCCCGAAAUGCACAUUAUCAGGAUAAAUCUUAGGAGCAACCAUUAGUAAGGGCACUUCAAUACCAUCAGCAUUUUUCAGACGCAAUUCACAUGUAAGCACGAAAUUAUUGUACUUUUCCAUGGCAAGAGGAACCUUGAAUUCUAGAACAACACAAAAAGCCAAAUGUAGGUACUUAGCAUUAAUGCAUUUGGGAGGGAGCACAAAAGCUAUUGAAGAUCCUAGGUUCUCAUAGCUGAACCAUUCUGGAAUUUCAGUUCGAGGUAAACCAACAAGAAAACUAUCACUAAAUUCUGAAACACCAAACUUUUCUUCAAUUCUCAGUCGUGCAUUUGCCAUAAUGUUGCCAAGUGUAUUAUGCUCCAAAUUGAAGCAAUUGCAAUAAUUGAAUAUUCCUCUUUGCCACCUGCAACCAUUGCAAUUUUGUACGAGUGCGAAGGGCAAAGGUGAUUUCGCAGUUUCUAGUGAUGUACAAUUAAACGCUUGGAGCACCGUUGUUCGCUCUGGAAGCUCUGGUAAAUGUUGGAGUCUUUUGCAGUUAUUUAAACUCAAUAAUCUUAGUGAUGAUAAAGAGAAAAUGUCGCUGGGGAUUUCUGAAACUGCAGUGUCAUCUAGAUAUAAAUGUGUUAAAGAGCACAAACCAUAUAACGAAGGCAAUCUACCAAGUUUUGAGCAGCCCCAAAGAAAAAGCCUUUCAAGGCAUUUCAACUCACAAAUGCUGCCUGGGAGACUCUCUAGCUUAUUGCACUUCUCCAGUUUCAACUCAACAAGUGAAGAGAGACAUCCGAUGGUUGAGGGUAAUUCUUCUAUUGCGACCUCUUCUAACAGUAUUCUUUUUAGAUAUCCAGUAACAUUAGGGAACUUGGUUAAAUUUGAACAUCUGAAGAGUUUAAGUGUCUCAACAGAAGUCAAAUGCAAACAGCUUGGAAGGCUUCUAAGGUUGUUGCACAUCGAGAUACGCAUGCAUUUAAGAGUGUCGAAAGAUUGAACAGAUGCGGACCAUUCUUCCAGUCCACGACACAUUAGAUAUAACCGUUUAAUACCACUCGGAAUUUCUGACAUUUUCUUCAAAUUUAUGCAGAAAGACAGAGAAAGUUCCUUCAGAUUUUUCAAAUGAAGGAGACUGGGAAGACUCCUUAGAUUUAUGCAGUCAUCAAGAUUAAGAUAAGUAAGUUUGUGGAGAAACUGAAUUGGAGAGGGAAUCUCAAGCAAACUCUCACACCCCUUAAGAUCUACUCGCUCUAAGUUUGCAGCCGAGGAGAGAUUUGGGAGUGUGGCUAGUUUCUUCGAUCCAGAAAGAUAGAGAUACUUCAACUUUUGAGGACACUUAUCUCCAUGCCAAAGCCGUUUAACAUUGCUAUCCUCCAAAUUGAGUAAAACAAGGUUCUCCAUGGAAAAACAUAAAGGCAGAGAACUGUAAGGAUAUUCCUCCCAAUGUAGUAAACUCAACUUGUUAGGAAGAUGCUGCAGAUGAUUCUUUUUAGCAGAUUCAAGUAUGAAGGUUUCAGGAGUCGAGUCCUUUUUAUUUGAAUGCCUAAAAAAUUUGAGUAAUCUUAAGUUAGGCAUUUGUGAGAAGGUUGCAGAAUUCAAGCGUAUCAUUCCCAUUUUAGAAGUAUCCAAGCAUAUCCCUUCCACUGCUUUGUUCACCUAAUACAAAGAAUAAAAAGCUAUGAGUAGACAGGACAAAUGAAUAAAAAAAGAUUUUUCUUGUCUUACCUUCUUAGCUGCCAAGAUAUCACAAAUUUUUGUGAAUUCCCAUAAUCUACUAUGUUCAUGCCGAGCAAUAUGUUGACCCAUUUCUUGUAUCAAAUCAUGCAUCUCUAACUUCUUAUUAACAACAAUUACAAGGCACUUUUCCACUAAACGAAUUAUUCCCAAACUUGGAGUAAGAUCACAUCCGUCUAGUAUAUCUUCUACACGGUCUUUAUCUUGGCCCUUGAAAAAGCAUGCUAUAUCAAGAAAUACAGCCUUUUCUGUUUGCUCUAGCGAAUCAUAACUUAUUUUUAAUAUUUUAUGAAUUUUGGAUAUCGGAAUUUUUUUUAGUUCUUUCAAUACAAUUUCCCAUUCCUUUGGAGAUCUUUUGCAUAGAUGUGAACCCAAAACUUUUAGGGCUAAAGGAACACCUUUAGCAUAGUUUACCACCCUUUCUGCUAACUUCAUAAACUCCUCUGGAGGAUGCUCUUGUUUAAAGGCUUUCACACUCAAUAAUUGAAGAGCAUCACAAUAAUUUAAUCCCUCAACCUUAUAUAUUUGAUCAACUCCACCAACAAGUACUUCUUUGUCUCUGCUUGUUACUAUGACUCUGCUUCCUGAACCAUACCAACCAUGAUAUCCAGCUAAAGCUUCUAACUGCUCUGAAUCAUUGACAUCAUCAAGA
This 3099-nucleotide unclassified non-coding RNA is filed under the name Hevea brasiliensis (rubber tree). The record is from RNAcentral. Lineage: Eukaryota; Viridiplantae; Streptophyta; Magnoliopsida; Malpighiales; Euphorbiaceae.